RNAcentral lists this ribosomal RNA (460 nucleotides) under uncultured bacterium. Its description in RNAcentral is "partial 16S ribosomal RNA". It matches the Rfam family "Bacterial small subunit ribosomal RNA", at positions 338 to 795 of the family's 1533-position model. The record is from RNAcentral.
CCUACGGGUGGCUGCAGUGAGGAAUAUUGGUCAAUGGGCGCGAGCCUGAACCAGCCAAGUAGCGUGAAGGAUGACUGCCCUACGGGUUGUAAACUUCUUUUAUAAAGGAAUAAAGUGAGGCACGUGUGCCUUUUUGUAUGUACUUUAUGAAUAAGGAUCGGCUAACUCCGGGCCAGCAGCCGCGGUAAUACGGAGGGUCCGAGCGUUAUCCGGAUUUAUUGGGUUUAAGGGGAGCGUAGAUGGGUUGUUAAGUCAGUUGUGAAAGUACGCGGCUCAACCGUAAAAGUGCAAUUGAUACUGGCAGUCUUGAGUACAGUAGAGGUGGGCGGAAUUCGAGGUGUAGCGGUGAAAUGCGUAGAUAUCACGAAGAACUCCGAUUGCGAAGGCAGCUUACUAAACUGCCACUGACAUUGAUGCUCGAAAGUGUGGGUAUCAAACAGGAUUAGAUACCCGUGUAGUC